Molecule: non-coding RNA, 180 nt
Filed under: Shouchella lonarensis
Lineage: Bacteria; Bacillati; Bacillota; Bacilli; Caryophanales; Bacillaceae
Description: 6S / SsrS RNA
Rfam family: 6S / SsrS RNA
About the family: E. coli 6S RNA was the first non coding RNA to be sequenced, but its function was unknown until recently. It consists of 184 nucleotides that fold into an extended hairpin structure with a large single-stranded internal bulge.
Source: Rfam by way of RNAcentral
GUGAUCCUGUGAUGUGCGUAAGAUGUUUUUCUUUGAGCCAACACUUUAGACGAGGGAGCUUGGCGUUGUUUGUCCGAUUACAAGCCUUGGAAGUGAAGGGGACGUAAAAAGGCAAAUGCAGAGCGCCCACCUGCGUAGCAGGUUCAAAGCGUCACCUUUUACGGCAUUAGCGGGACAUAA